GGCCUUGACAUACUAAGAACUUUCCAGAGAUGGAUUGGUGCCUUCGGGAACUUAGAUACAGGUGCUGCAUGGCUGUCGUCAGCUCGUGUCGUGAGAUGUUGGGUUAAGUCCCGCAACGAGCGCAACCCUUUUCCUAUUUGCCAGCGGGUCAUGCCGGGAACUUUAAGGAUACUGCCAGUGACAAACUGGAGGAAGGCGGGGACGACGUCAAGUCAUCAUGGCCCUUACGGCCAGGGCUACACACGUGCUACAAUGGUCGGUACAAAGGGUUGCUACCUCGCGAGAGGAUGCUAAUCUCAAAAAGCCGAUCGUAGUCCGGAUCGCAGUCUGCAACUCGACUGCGUGAAGUCGGAAUCGCUAGUAAUCGCGGAUCAGAAUGCCGCGGUGAAUACGUUCCCGGGCCUUGUACACACCGCCCGUCACACCAUGGGAGUUUGUUGCACCAGAAGUAGGUAGUCUAACCGCAAGGAGGACGCUUACCACGGUGUGGCCGAUGACUGGGGUGAAGUCGUAACAAGGUAAGCGUAGAUGA
Molecule: ribosomal RNA, 532 nt
Filed under: uncultured bacterium
Lineage: Bacteria
Description: bacterial SSU rRNA
Rfam family: Bacterial small subunit ribosomal RNA
Source: RNAcentral